This 252-nucleotide ribosomal RNA is filed under the name uncultured bacterium. Its description in RNAcentral is "partial 16S ribosomal RNA". It matches the Rfam family "Bacterial small subunit ribosomal RNA", at positions 524 to 776 of the family's 1533-position model. The record is from RNAcentral.
GACGGGGGGGGCAAGUGUUCUUCGGAAUGACUGGGCGUAAAGGGACACGUAGGCGGUGAAUCGGGUUGAAAGUGAAAGUCGCCAAAAAGUGGCGGAAUGCUCUCGAAACCAAUUCACUUGAGUGAGACAGAGGAGAGUGGAAUUUCGUGUGUAGGGGUGAAAUCCGUAAAUAUACGAAGGAACGCCAAAAGCGAAGGCAGCUCUCUGGGUCCCUACCGACGCUGGGGUGCGAAAGCAUGGGGAGCGAACAGG